AUUGAACGCUGGCGGCAUGCUUUACACAUGCAAGUCGGACGGCAGCACAGAGAAGCUUGCUUCUUGGGUGGCGAGUGGCGAACGGGUGAGUAACAUAUCGGAACGUACCGAGCAGUGGGGGAUAACUAAUCGAAAGAUUAGCUAAUACCGCAUAUUUUCUGAGGAAGAAAGCAGGGGACCUUUGGGCCUUGCGCUGUUUGAGCGGCCGAUAUCUGAUUAGCUAGUUGGUGGGGUAAAGGCCUACCAAGGCGACGAUCAGUAGCGGGUCUGAGAGGAUGAUCCGCCCGACUGGGACUGAGACACGGCCCAGACUCCUACGGGAGGCAGCAGUGGGGAAUUUUGGACAAUGGGCGCAAGCCUGAUCCAGCCAUGCCGCGUGUCUGAAGAAGGCCUUCGGGUUGUAAAGGACUUUUGUCAGGGAAGAAAAGGGCGGGGUUAAUACCCCUGUCUGAUGACGGUACCUGAAGAAUAAGCACCGGCUAACUACGUG
Molecule: ribosomal RNA, 490 nt
Filed under: uncultured bacterium
Lineage: Bacteria
Description: partial 16S ribosomal RNA
Rfam family: Bacterial small subunit ribosomal RNA
Source: RNAcentral